AAUCAACGCUGGCGGCGUGCCUAACACAUGCAAGUCGAACGCGGUUACCCCGCAAGGGGUAACUGAGUGGCGAACGGGUGAGUAACACGUGGGUGACCUACCUUCGAAUGGGGGAUAACGUCCCGAAAGGGACGCUAAUACCGCAUAACAUCCUGCUUUUGAACGAGUGGUGAUCAAAGCCGGGGAUCGCAAGACCUGGCGUUUGUUGAGGGGCCCGCGUCUGAUUAGCUAGUUGGUGAGGUAAUGGCCCACCAAGGCGACGAUCAGUAUCCGGCCUGAGAGGGCGGACGGACACACUGGGACUGAGACACGGCCCAGACUCCUACGGGAGGCAGCAGUGGGGAAUUGUUCGCAAUGGGCGCAAGCCUGACGACGCAACGCCGCGUGGAGGAUGAAGGUCUUCGGGAUUGUAAACUCCUGUUGCUCGGGACGAAAAGCUUCGACCUAACACGUUGAAGUCUGACGGUACCGAGUGA
This 476-nucleotide ribosomal RNA is filed under the name uncultured bacterium. Its description in RNAcentral is "bacterial SSU rRNA". It matches the Rfam family "Bacterial small subunit ribosomal RNA", at positions 32 to 485 of the family's 1533-position model. The record is from RNAcentral.